UCAGCGAGGAAACACCACGUCUCUCUCUGUCUCACCCUUUUUCCUGUAUUUCAGGUUAGUAAUGUGUUAGAACAUGACAUAAAUCGCUGUAGGUUGUUAGUGAAUGCUGAGAGAUAAGUUGAGUUAAAGUAUAAGAGUAAAAUGAGCAGGUUUUGGAGAUACGGUUUCACAUGAGGCCCGCCGAGAGUAACGAUAGCGGCGCGGUUUGCUCUGUUAAUAGCAUGUUAGCGUAAGAUGCUAGUGUGGGCCACACUUCUCCACUGUUUUAGGUUAGAAUAAUAUACUGGCUGGCUCCAUAAACGAUAUGUAGCAUGUUGGAAUAUUUUGGAAAUGGUGUUAUGUAUUUAUAUGUUUUAGUGAUGAAUACUGUUAUACUGUCAGCGAGUCAAGAGUCAUAUUUCGUGGCGUCAGAGUAUCCAGUGUAUUUUGCACUGCAGUAAUAGCCAAAAGUAUUUGGACAGACGAAUAUGGAAAUGGUUGUGAAAUGUGUAUAAUUUUGUGCUUGGAGUUUUAUUGCAUGUUAUUUUAAGAACAUGAACAAUGUGUCCAAGAAGACAAGGCAUGUACGGUACUGAUAAAUACUGAGAAAUUGAAACAAAGACGAUUCUGAUGGUAUAAAGGAAAUGUAAAUCAAUAAAUAACUGCAGAGAUUUCUGCAAGGAAACACCACGUCUCUCUCUGUCUCACCCUUUUUCCUGUAUUUCAGCUGCUUAUGGGUGCCGCUGCCCGGUACCCGUAACACCAGCAGCACAAAUGAGUGGGCCACCUUGAUUAAACGGUUGCGGCACUCAGCUGAGAACCUUUCAGCGGUCAGGCAUGGAGAAAACCUACACCUGACGCAGAUCCUGGAUUACUAAGGAUCUCCCACUGUUGCCAAAAUAUUCAAUGAGUACCCACGGUUUUUGGACACGCCAAGUCUGCUGGACUCAGAGUUUGGCAAACUUACAGGUGGAAGGACGGACCUCUUUUUACGAAGAUGGGGGAGGCCAACAUCAUUCCCAAACUCAAAUCAGUGGCUCCCUUGGAACCAAGAAUGUCCAAUCUGUUGAAGGAUAUUGAAGAGAAAACUGAAGGUAUUUUAUGUAAACAAACCCUCCAAAUCAGAAAUAAUUAAGAAGCCUUGAGUGUGAUACUAGAAAGUUAACAAAAACAAAAAACCCCAUCAAAUGACGUUGUCUUUUUCUUGGCUAUUAAACAAGUGAAUGUUAAAAAUA
Micropterus salmoides (largemouth bass) is the source of this 1214-nucleotide long non-coding RNA. RefSeq lists it as uncharacterized. The record is from RefSeq and is a predicted model, not a curated record. Lineage: Eukaryota; Metazoa; Chordata; Actinopteri; Centrarchiformes; Centrarchidae. The transcript is spliced from 2 exons.